GUACACUCCUGCGGGAGGCAGCAGUGGGGAAUUUUGGACAAUGGGCGAAAGCCUGAUCCAGCAAUGCCGCGUGCAGGAUGAAGGCCUUCGGGUUGUAAACUGCUUUUGUACGGAACGAAAAAGCUCCUUCUAAUACAGGGGGCCCAUGACGGUACCGUAAGAAUAAGCACCGGCUAACUACGUGCCAGCAGCCGCGGUAAUACGUAGGGUGCGAGCGUUAAUCGGAAUUACUGGGCGUAAAGCGUGCGCAGGCGGUUAUGUAAGACAGAUGUGAAAUCCCCGGGCUCAACCUGGGAACUGCAUUUGUGACUGCAUGGCUAGAGUACGGUAGAGGGGGAUGGAAUUCCGCGUGUAGUAGUGAAAUGCGUAGAUAUGCGGAGGAACACCGAUGGCGAAGGCAAUCCCCUGGACCUGUACUGACGCUCAUGCACGAAAGCGUGGGGAGCAAACAGGAUUAGAAACCCUUGUAGUCCCAUG
This 477-nucleotide ribosomal RNA is filed under the name uncultured organism. RNAcentral describes it as "partial 16S ribosomal RNA". It matches the Rfam family "Bacterial small subunit ribosomal RNA", at positions 331 to 799 of the family's 1533-position model. The record is from RNAcentral.